RNAcentral lists this transfer RNA (77 nucleotides) under Escherichia coli. RNAcentral's name for it is "tRNA-Arg". It matches the Rfam family "tRNA". Rfam says of the family: Transfer RNA (tRNA) molecules are approximately 80 nucleotides in length. Their secondary structure includes four short double-helical elements and three loops (D, anti-codon, and T loops). RNAcentral also lists the same sequence under 3 other names. The record is from RNAcentral. Lineage: Bacteria; Pseudomonadati; Pseudomonadota; Gammaproteobacteria; Enterobacterales; Enterobacteriaceae.
CCGUCACUAGCUCAUCGGGACAGAGCAUCAACCUUCUAAGUUGAUUGUGCGGGGUUCAAGUCCCCGGUGGCGGUCCA